This 476-nucleotide ribosomal RNA is filed under the name Plestiodon tetragrammus. Its description in RNAcentral is "partial 12S ribosomal RNA". It matches the Rfam family "Bacterial small subunit ribosomal RNA", at positions 674 to 1361 of the family's 1533-position model. Lineage: Eukaryota; Metazoa; Chordata; Lepidosauria; Squamata; Scincidae. The record is from RNAcentral.
CCAAGUCGUAAAACACCCACGCACAUCGGAAACACACCAAUAAAAUGCCCUUAAACAAAAAACUACUUGACCCACGAAAGCCAGGAAACAAACUGGGAUUAGAUACCCCACUAUGCUUGGCCAUAAACCAAGGUAGCAUCAAACACACCGCUACUCGCCAGAGAACUACAAGUGAAAAACUUAAAACUCCAAGGACUUGGCGGUGCCCCACACCAACCUAGAGGAGCCUGUCCUAUAAUCGAUAAUCCACGCUCCACCCAACCAUCUUUUGCCAUCAGCCUAUAUACCGCCGUCGUCAACUCACCCUAUGAAAGAAGCACAGUGAGUAAAAUAGUUAUCAACUAACACGUCAGGUCAAGGUGUAGCACAUGAGAUGGAAGAGAUGGGCUACAUUUUCUACUUCAGAAAACACGAACAGCUCAGUGAAACUUGGGCUAAAAGGCGGAUUUAGAAGUCAGAUAAACCAGCAUUUUUAU